RNAcentral lists this long non-coding RNA (773 nucleotides) under Triticum aestivum (bread wheat). RNAcentral describes it as "long non-coding RNA (TAES_LNC020961)". Lineage: Eukaryota; Viridiplantae; Streptophyta; Magnoliopsida; Poales; Poaceae. The record is from RNAcentral.
CAACAUAUGUAUCCUUUCUUUUGAAGUAAACAUGAAGUGCAGCUAGCCCAUCUGCAGCAAGUCGAGGUUCAGCUAUAGGUAGCAGUAUCCUAGUCGUUGAGUUUAUCUGAACCCACGGUUGCGGUCAUAACUGAACCUUUUUAAACAAUUAUACUUGGACGUCUCAAGAUAAACAAGGUGAACUUCGAUCAGAUGUAGUCACGCGUCGGGGAUGAGCAAAAGGUUGGGAUCUAGUUGGGGGUUAAUUUCAUUAUUCCAGCAGCAGAGUGUUUCCAUCAACUGCACACAGAAGAACGUUGCAUCCAAGAGACAUCCGGAGAGCUUGGAACUCUUCAGUUUCUGUUCACGGAACAACAGAGUCAAAUUUUCAGCCGCAUGACAGGGCAGAAAAAAUUAUGAUGAAGGUCAACAUCAUCAGCUAAGAAGGUCAUCUCUUGGUCUAAGGUGAAGGUGGUAAGGGGAUGGACAGACAUGCAUCAUGCACCUGACUUUUUCAACAUCUGACCUUCAUGAUCGUCCCUGUGACAAUGACUUUUCAGUUUUCUUCAUAAAAUGGAGCUCUUUUCCCCCUUUUUGAUUCCAACUUUGAACUUUUGUUAAAAUGUGUACAUAAUCAUGAACGUCAACAUCUCUAAAUUGCAGCAGUAACAACCACUUGAGCUUCUGUGCAAAACUUCUUUGGACUACAACCUAGAAAAAAACAUACCUUUUUGUUUGGGGUAUAUACACAAACAGCUUAUGUGCACGGGGUAGCUCAAUGCGGAGACUGCCAG